This 206-nucleotide ribosomal RNA is filed under the name uncultured bacterium. Its description in RNAcentral is "partial 16S ribosomal RNA". It matches the Rfam family "Bacterial small subunit ribosomal RNA", at positions 524 to 729 of the family's 1533-position model. The record is from RNAcentral.
UACAGAGGUCCCGAGCGUUGUUCGGAUUCACUGGGCGUAAAGGGUGCGUAGGUGGCAGGGUAAGUUUGAUGUGAAAUCUCCGGGCUUAACCCGGAAACUGCAUUGAAUACUAUCCUACUUGAGGGUUGGAGGGGGACUGGAAUUCUCGGUGUAGCAGUGAAAUGCGUAGAUAUCGAGAGGAACACCAGUAGGCGAAGGCGAGUCCC